CGGGACGGGUGAGUAAUGUCUGGGAAACUGCCCGAUGGAGGGGGGUAACUACUGGAAACGGUAGCUAAUACCGCAUAAUGUCUACGGACCAAAGCGGGGGACCUCCGGGCCUCGCGCCAUCAGAUGAACCCAUAUGGGAUUAGCUAGUAGGUGAGGCAACGGCUUACCUAGGCGACGAUCCCUAGCUGGUCUGAGAGGAUGAUCAGCCACACUGGGACUGAGACACGGCCCAG
This 233-nucleotide ribosomal RNA is filed under the name uncultured bacterium. RNAcentral's name for it is "partial 16S ribosomal RNA". It matches the Rfam family "Bacterial small subunit ribosomal RNA", at positions 100 to 334 of the family's 1533-position model. The record is from RNAcentral.